This 250-nucleotide ribosomal RNA is filed under the name uncultured bacterium. RNAcentral describes it as "partial 16S ribosomal RNA". It matches the Rfam family "Bacterial small subunit ribosomal RNA", at positions 355 to 622 of the family's 1533-position model. The record is from RNAcentral.
UGGGGAAUAUUGGACAAUGGGCGCAAGCCUGAUCCAGCCAUGCCGCGUGAGUGACGAAGGCCUUAGGGUUGUAAAGCUCUUUUGGCGGGGAAGAUAAUGACGGUACCCGCAGAAUAAGCUCCGGCUAACUUCGUGCCAGCAGCCGCGGUAAUACGAAGGGAGCUAGCGUUGUUCGGAAUCACUGGGCGUAAAGCGCACGUAGGCGGAUGUGUCAGUCAGGGGUGAAAUCCCGGAGCUCAACUUCGGAACU